CCUACGGGAGGCAGCAGUGGGGAAUAUUGGACAAUGGGGGGAACCCUGAUCCAGCCAUGCCGCGUGUGUGAAGAAGGCCCUCGGGUUGUAAAGCACUUUCAGUGAGGAAGAACGCCUGGUGGUUAAUACCCAUCAGGAAAGACAUCACUCACAGAAGAAGCACCGGCUAACUCCGUGCCAGCAGCCGCGGUAAUACGGAGGGUGCGAGCGUUAAUCGGAAUUACUGGGCGUAAAGCGCGCGUAGGUGGCUUGAUAAGCCGGUUGUGAAAGCCCCGGGCUCAACCUGGGAACGGCAUCCGGAACUGUCAAGCUAGAGUGCAGGAGAGGAAGGUAGAAUUCCCGGUGUAGCGGUGAAAUGCGUAGAGAUCGGGAGGAAUACCAGUGGCGAAGGCGGCCUUCUGGACUGACACUGACACUGAGGUGCGAAAGCGUGGGUAGCAAACAGGAUUAGAUACCCUGAUAGUC
RNAcentral lists this ribosomal RNA (465 nucleotides) under Vreelandella stevensii. RNAcentral describes it as "partial 16S ribosomal RNA". It matches the Rfam family "Bacterial small subunit ribosomal RNA", at positions 338 to 795 of the family's 1533-position model. The record is from RNAcentral. Lineage: Bacteria; Pseudomonadati; Pseudomonadota; Gammaproteobacteria; Oceanospirillales; Halomonadaceae.